Long non-coding RNA from Papaver somniferum (opium poppy), 706 nucleotides. RefSeq lists it as uncharacterized. Lineage: Eukaryota; Viridiplantae; Streptophyta; Magnoliopsida; Ranunculales; Papaveraceae. The transcript is spliced from 3 exons. The record is from RefSeq and is a predicted model, not a curated record.
UCCACUCCCUCUGUGGAACAAACGAAAAUCAGUAACAACACGGGGAAGGAGAGAUAGAGGAAGAAAUAGGAUGAGAAAAUCUCGAGUUUAUCCAAUACACUAUGUAAAUCUGGAAAAGUCAAUUUUAGAUCUCCGAUUGAAGAACCCAUGUCUACAUCUGAAACAUUAAUUCGUUUACUAUCGUUUUUACACAGAAGUUGUUCGCAAUAUAGCCUAUUUCGUUUAAGCUUGUACAUCAUGUAUUUCUGAGAAGGUUAUUGACGUGCUUAGUAAAAUGAUGCAGUAGGGAUUCCCGUUUGAUGUUAUCUUUCUUGCUAUCAUCUAUGGUAUGUGAAAUAGGAAAGGAAUCAAACAAGGGGUUCUCAUGUAUGAGAGUUCUUAUUUUUGAAGAAAAUGGGAGGAUUGAUGUUGUCCAGCUGGAAGUUUUUUGCUUUGCAAUAAAAAUUGAAGUUAAGGUUAGUUUUGAUGGAAACAUUUUCAUGAUUCAAAGUUGCAGUUGUUAAUUUUUUUUCUUUUAAAUGUAUGACUCAUGGUACAAAUUGAAGCAGGACAUGGUACUCUAGGUGAAUCUGAAGCAUCGUAAGGUACUAAAGUGUUUACAUUUCUUUUUAAGUGGUUUUCAUAUGCUUUCAUGACAAUUAAUCAAAUUUAAAUAUAUAUGGAUGUUUUGGGGUAAAAACUGAUUCUGUUUUUUUUUUUUGUAAUU